This 497-nucleotide ribosomal RNA is filed under the name uncultured bacterium. RNAcentral's name for it is "partial 16S ribosomal RNA". It matches the Rfam family "Bacterial small subunit ribosomal RNA", at positions 28 to 507 of the family's 1533-position model. The record is from RNAcentral.
GAUGAACGCUGGCGGCGUGCCUAAUACAUGCAAGUCGAGCGAACAGACGAGGAGCUUGCUCCUCUGACGUUAGCGGCGGACGGGUGAGUCACACGUGGAUAACCUACCUAUAAGACUGGGAUAACUUCGGGAAACCGGAUCUAAUACCGGAUAAUAUAUUGAACCGCAUGGUUCAAUAGUGACAGACGGUUUUGCUGUCACUUAUAGAUGGUUCCGCGCCGCAUUAGCUAGUUGGUAAGGUGACGGCUUACCAAGGCGACGAUGCGUAGCCGACCUGAGAGGGUGAUCGGCAACACUGGAACUGAGACACGGUCCAGACUCCUACGGGAGGCAGCAGUAGGGAAUCUUCCGCAAUGGGCGAAAGCCUGACGGAGCAACGCCGCGUGAGGGAUGAAGGUCUUAGGAUCGGAAAGCUCUGUUAGUAGGGAAGAACAAAUGUUUAAGUAACUAUGCACGUCGUGACGGUACCUAAACAGAAAGCCACGGCUAACUGCGUG